AUGGCAAAUUGUGCCACCAGAAUCAUGUGUUUUUUCUUCCUCUUCUUGGGCUUUGUCGUCCAUAGUUCUGCCGAUAAUUGCUUCAUUGAUUGGAGCUCUAAAAAUCCCGGCGACUGGACUACCAGGGCUCUCUGUCAUCCCCCCCAAGACCUGGGUGAGAUGAUCAAAAGAUUUAUUUAGGCCUGUGAUUAAUCUUAUUCACGUAGUUUUGACUGUCUGAUAUAUUAAAUCCUCUACUGUAUUAAUUCGUGAAAUUCGCUAAUUCUUGGGUACCAAUUUGUUUGGACUCCUACAGUUAUCAAGUGUGGAACAACCAUUUCUUCGGUUUCGAAUGUUGACUUGAGUGACUACAACGAUUGUCCAGUACGCCCUAAUCCAGAGACUACAACAACGAAAUCGGUAGAAGACGGCCAGGUCGUCUUCAGUGGUCUUCCAGUGGGUGCACGUUCGUAUUUCAUUCCUGCAGAUAUCGACCAAUAUUGGUGUUCAC
Molecule: long non-coding RNA, 490 nt
Filed under: Coffea arabica (coffee)
Lineage: Eukaryota; Viridiplantae; Streptophyta; Magnoliopsida; Gentianales; Rubiaceae
Description: long non-coding RNA (CARA_LNC006946)
Source: RNAcentral